AUUGAACGCUGGCGGCAGGCUUAACACAUGCAAGUCGAGCGGGGUGAUGGUGCUUGCACUAUCACUUAGCGGCGGACGGGUGAGUAAUGCUUAGGAAUCUGCCUAUUAGUGGGGGACAACAUCUCGAAAGGGAUGCUAAUACCGCAUACGUCCUACGGGAGAAAGCAGGGGAUCACUUGUGACCUUGCGCUAAUCGAUGAGCCUAAGUCGGUUUAGCUAGUUGGUGGGGUAAAGGCCUACCAAGGCGACGAUCUGUAGCGGGUCUGAGAGGAUGAUCCGCCACACUUGGACUGAGACACGGCCCAGACUCCUACGGGAGGCAGCAGUGGGGAAUAUUGGACAAUGGGGGGAACCCUGAUCCAGCCAUGCCGCGUGUGUGAAGAAGGCCUUAUGGUUGUAAAGCACUUUAAGCGAGGAGGAGGCUCUUUUGGUUAAUACCCAAGAUGAGUGGACGUUACUCGCAGAAUAAGCACCGGCUAACUCUGUGCCAGCAGCCGCCGUAA
This 503-nucleotide ribosomal RNA is filed under the name uncultured bacterium. Its description in RNAcentral is "partial 16S ribosomal RNA". It matches the Rfam family "Bacterial small subunit ribosomal RNA", at positions 30 to 523 of the family's 1533-position model. The record is from RNAcentral.